This 173-nucleotide non-coding RNA is filed under the name Weissella kandleri. RNAcentral describes it as "Lysine sequence". It matches the Rfam family "Lysine riboswitch aptamer". From Rfam's summary of the family: Riboswitches are metabolite binding domains within certain messenger RNAs that serve as precision sensors for their corresponding targets. Allosteric rearrangement of mRNA structure is mediated by ligand binding, and this results in modulation of gene expression. Lineage: Bacteria; Bacillati; Bacillota; Bacilli; Lactobacillales; Lactobacillaceae. The record is from Rfam by way of RNAcentral.
AUAAAGAAUAGAGGUCGCAGUGAACAAGAUUAGCUGGUGGAGUCGAUAGACGAGAAAGCCAGUGAAAGGGAACAUUGCCGAAACAAGGGGAUAGAUAUAUCUUUUUGUUGGUCCAGACGCCAAUAACGGUUGGAUUGUCGUAAUGAAACACAUUGCGGAGCGCUAUCGAUAAA